CCGGCGCACGGGUGAGUAACACGUAUCCAACCCGCCGUCUACUCUUGGACAGCCUUCUGAAAGGAAGAUUAAUACAAGAUGGCAUCAUGAGUUCACAUGUUCACAUGAUUAAAGGUAUUCCGGUAGACGAUGGGGAUGCGUUCCAUUAGAUAGUAGGCGGGGUAACGGCCCACCUAGUCUUCGAUGGAUAGGGGUUCUGAGAGGAAGGUCCCCCACAUUGGAACUGAGACACGGUCCAA
Molecule: ribosomal RNA, 239 nt
Filed under: uncultured bacterium
Lineage: Bacteria
Description: partial 16S ribosomal RNA
Rfam family: Bacterial small subunit ribosomal RNA
Source: RNAcentral